GCCAGCCACCGUGUCAUGAGGACAUUUAAGCAGCCCUAGAGAGAGGUCCGAAAGCUUUCCCCAGGCAGAAUCACAAGGUGGAGAUGCCAGGACUCAGCCUGAGUGUGGGGGAGAGUUGCUCCAGCCAGUCUGAGCUCUGUGGCCUUUUGGGGCCCCACUAUUCGCUCUGCUACAGGGUUGUCAUUCUGAAAGAAGAGAAAAGAAAAUUCAAAAGCAGCUUGGAUCAAAGAACCAUAUCUCAUUGACAAAGGAGACAGAGAGUGAGGGGAAUGCCAGAGAGCUAAUCAUCAGUGCUCAGCCAACAGCAAUGCCUGCGACACGCCUGCUCUGAAACGCAAGUGACCAGACAGAUUGAAGCAGACUGAAGGGGCACGUUUUCAUAUCAGGUCGUGCUGUAGCAUUCUUGGAAAACUCAAGUACAGCUGGUAUGAGCAGAGCCCAGAAAGCCACUGUCUAAAAGAAAAGAUGAGAAACAAGCCGUAAAUUGGUGUAAGAAGUGAAUACAGGGAAAACUUGGAGUGACUGAUGAUGACUGAGUUUUGUGAGCAUAUCUCUACAUAAUCUUUUCCCAAAUUUAUUUCAUUUGAUAUAUUUUAAUAUAUUCAAGAGUGUUUACAAGUUGCUGGUGUUUAAAAACAAAAACAAAAACUUCUUUAUAGGAAAUAUCCCCCCAUCCACCUCAUUGACUAUACAAUCAUGUACUGUUUUUUAAUUUUAAUUUUUAUAUUUUUUGAGUCAGGGUCUCAUAGAC
Piliocolobus tephrosceles (Ugandan red Colobus) is the source of this 751-nucleotide long non-coding RNA. RefSeq lists it as uncharacterized. NCBI's taxonomy places the organism in Eukaryota, Metazoa, Chordata, Mammalia, Primates, Cercopithecidae. The transcript has 3 exons. The record is from RefSeq and is a predicted model, not a curated record.